Molecule: non-coding RNA, 75 nt
Filed under: Caballeronia concitans
Lineage: Bacteria; Pseudomonadati; Pseudomonadota; Betaproteobacteria; Burkholderiales; Burkholderiaceae
Description: Burkholderia sRNA 54
Rfam family: Burkholderia sRNA 54
About the family: Identified by RNA-seq, RACE and Northern blot. Strongly expressed in biofilm.
Source: Rfam by way of RNAcentral
CUUUCUCUCAGGUUCUGGCACGGCCCCUCGGAUUGGCCAGAACUUUCAAGCCGGCUCUCGAAGCCGGCUUUUUUU